CAGCUCCAAUAGCGUAUAUUAAAAUUGUUGCAGUUAAAAAGCUCGUAGUUGAAUUUCUGCUGCAUUGCUUUUGCUCCUUUACGAGUCUUUGCAUUGUGGCUUAUUUCGGACUUUGUUUUACAAUGUCCGGAUGUUUACUUUGAGAAAAUUAGAGUGCUCAAAGCAGGCUUUCGCCUUGAAUAGUUUAGCAUGGAAUAAUAAAGUAGGACUUUGGUUCUAUUUUGUUGGUUUUAGGUACCAAAGUAAUGGUUAAUAGGAACAGUUGGGGGCAUUCGUAUUUAACUGUCAGAGGUGAAAUUCUUAGAUUUGUUAAAGACGAACUACUGCGAAAGCAUUUGCCAAGGAUGUUUUCAUUAAUCAAGAACGAAAGUUAGGGGAUCGAAGACGAU
This 389-nucleotide ribosomal RNA is filed under the name Theileria sp. Its description in RNAcentral is "SSU rRNA". It matches the Rfam family "Eukaryotic small subunit ribosomal RNA", at positions 586 to 1008 of the family's 1831-position model. Lineage: Eukaryota; Apicomplexa; Aconoidasida; Piroplasmida; Theileriidae. The record is from RNAcentral.